UGGGGGAUAUUGCACAAUGGGCGAAAGCCUGAUGCAGCGACGCCGCGUGGGGGAUGAAGGCCUUCGGGUUGUAAACUUCUUUUGCUCUGAACAAGGCAUGCUUUUGGGGUGUGUUGAGUGUAGGGGGUGAUUAGCGCCGGCUAACUACGUGCCAGCAGCCGCGGUAAUACGUAGGGCGCGAGCGUUGUCCGGAAUUAUUGGGCGUAAAGGGCUUGUAGGUGGCUGGUUGCGUCUGUCGUGAAAGCUCAUGGCUUAACUGUGGGUUUGCGGUGGGUACGGGCUGGCUUGAGUGCAGUAGGGGAGGCUGGAAUUCCUGGUGUAGCGGUGGAAUGCGCAGAUAUCAGGAGGAAUACCGGUGGCGAAGGCGGGUCUCUGGGCUGUUACUGACGCUGAGGAGCGAAAGCGUGGGGAGCGAACAGG
Molecule: ribosomal RNA, 420 nt
Filed under: Fusobacteriota bacterium
Lineage: Bacteria; Fusobacteriati; Fusobacteriota
Description: Fusobacteria bacterium partial 16S ribosomal RNA
Rfam family: Bacterial small subunit ribosomal RNA
Source: RNAcentral